RNAcentral lists this non-coding RNA (29 nucleotides) under Rattus norvegicus (Norway rat). Lineage: Eukaryota; Metazoa; Chordata; Mammalia; Rodentia; Muridae. The record is from RNAcentral.
UGUGACAGUUAUGACUGUUAGGCAGGCCU